UUGAAACGGUGGAUUAAUUAU
This 21-nucleotide non-coding RNA is filed under the name Arabidopsis thaliana (thale cress). Lineage: Eukaryota; Viridiplantae; Streptophyta; Magnoliopsida; Brassicales; Brassicaceae. The record is from RNAcentral.